AUGAUUCAUCGCUUAUAUAUUAGUUGGAUAGUAUCUCUUUAUUCGGUUCUUGUGACUGACCUACUGCUUUACUUAUAUGGACAGCUUAAACUGAAAGCAAUGCAUGGUAUUGUUCAAUUCGAAGUGUACUUGACGUGUGCAGAUCUAAGGAUGAAGGGAAGAAGACAAAAUUUAGCUGAAGAGUUGAAUAAGAUUAAGGUUAUUAUUCCACAAUCAUUUAUUGCAUCCAUUAUGUCUUCACCCAAUCCAUCUCUCUCUCUCUGCUGGCUGCCGCCACACGUGGAUGGUAGUGGUUCAUUUUCCUAUAACAUUUGGCAUUUCUACAGUUUUAUCAUGUAUAGCUGGAUCCAGAAAAUGUAG
RNAcentral lists this ribosomal RNA (360 nucleotides) under Triticum aestivum (bread wheat). Its description in RNAcentral is "partial small subunit ribosomal RNA". Lineage: Eukaryota; Viridiplantae; Streptophyta; Magnoliopsida; Poales; Poaceae. The record is from RNAcentral.